RNAcentral lists this ribosomal RNA (492 nucleotides) under uncultured bacterium. RNAcentral's name for it is "partial 16S ribosomal RNA". It matches the Rfam family "Bacterial small subunit ribosomal RNA", at positions 29 to 507 of the family's 1533-position model. The record is from RNAcentral.
AGUGAACGCUGGCGGUAGGCCUAACACAUGCAAGUCGAACGGCAGCACAGUAAGAGCUUGCUCUUACGGGUGGCGAGUGGCGGACGGGUGAGGAAUACAUCGGAAUCUACUUUUUCGUGGGGGAUAACGUAGGGAAACUUACGCUAAUACCGCACACGACCUACGGGUGAAAGCAGGGGAUCUUCGGACCUUGCGCGAUUGAAUGAGCCGAUGUCGGAUUAGCUAGUUGGCGGGGUAAAGGCCCACCAAGGCGACGAUCCGUAGCUGGUCUGAGAGGAUGAUCAGCCACACUGGAACUGAGACACGGUCCAGACUCCUACGGGAGGCAGCAGUGGGGAAUAUUGGACAAUGGGCGCAAGCCUGAUCCAGCCAUACCACGUGGGUGAAGAAGGCCUUCGGGUUGUAAAGCCCUUUUGUUGGGAAAGAAAAGCAGCAGGUUAAUACCCCGCUGUUCUGACGGUACCCAAAGAAUAAGCACCGGCUAACUUCGUG